RNAcentral lists this ribosomal RNA (465 nucleotides) under Vreelandella stevensii. RNAcentral describes it as "partial 16S ribosomal RNA". It matches the Rfam family "Bacterial small subunit ribosomal RNA", at positions 338 to 795 of the family's 1533-position model. Lineage: Bacteria; Pseudomonadati; Pseudomonadota; Gammaproteobacteria; Oceanospirillales; Halomonadaceae. The record is from RNAcentral.
CCUACGGGACGCAGCAGUGGGGAAUAUUGGACAAUGGGCGAAAGCCUGAUCCAGCCAUGCCGCGUGUGUGAAGAAGGCCUUCGGGUUGUAAAGCACUUUCAGUGGGGAAGAAAGCCUUGGGGCUAAUACCCUCGAGGAAGGACAUCACCCACAGAAGAAGCACCGGCUAACUCCGUGCCAGCAGCCGCGGUAAUACGGAGGGUGCGAGCGUUAAUCGGAAUUACUGGGCGUAAAGCGCGCGUAGGCGGUCUGAUAAGCCGGUUGUGAAAGCCCCGGGCUCAACCUGGGAACGGCAUCCGGAACUGUCAGGCUAGAGUGCAGGAGAGGAAGGUAGAAUUCCCGGUGUAGCGGUGAAAUGCGAAGAGAUCGGGAGGAAUACCAGUGGCGAAGGCGGCCUUCUGGACUGACACUGACGCUGAGGUGCGAAAGCGUGGGUAGCAAACAGGAUUAGAUACCCGUGUAGUC